CCGGACGGGUGAGUAACACGUACCCAACCUGCCGUCUACUCUUAGACGUCCUUCUGGAAAGGAAGUAAUUAUACAAGAUGGCAUCAUGAGUCCGCAUGUUCACAUGAUUAAAGGUAUUCCGGUAGACGAUGGGGAUGCGUUCCAUUAGAUAGUAGGCGGGGUAACGGCCCACCUAGUCUUCGAUGGAUAGGGGUUCUGAGAGGAAGGUCCCCCACAUUGGAACUGAGACACGGUCCAA
This 238-nucleotide ribosomal RNA is filed under the name uncultured bacterium. Its description in RNAcentral is "partial 16S ribosomal RNA". It matches the Rfam family "Bacterial small subunit ribosomal RNA", at positions 98 to 334 of the family's 1533-position model. The record is from RNAcentral.